UGAGGAAUAUUGGACAAUGGGCGCAAGCCUGAUCCAGCCAUGCCGCGUGCAGGAAGACGGCCCUAUGGGUUGUAAACUGCUUUUAUACGGGAAGAAACCCCCCGACGUGUCGGGGCUUGACGGUACCGUAUGAAUAAGGAUCGGCUAACUCCGUGCCAGCAGCCGCGGUAAUACGGAGGAUCCGAGCGUUAUCCGGAAUCAUUGGGUUUAAAGGGUCCGUAGGUGGACGAUUAAGUCGGAGGUGAAAUCCUGCAGCUCAACUGUAGAAUUGCCUUUGAUACUGGUUGUCUUGAAUCAUUGUGAAGUGGUUAGAAUAUGUGGUGUAGCGGUGAAAUGCAUAGAUAUCACAUAGAAUACCGAUUGCGAAGGCAGAUCACUAACAAUGUAUUGACACUGAUGGACGAAAGCGUGGGGAGCGAACAGG
Molecule: ribosomal RNA, 424 nt
Filed under: uncultured Gelidibacter sp.
Lineage: Bacteria; Pseudomonadati; Bacteroidota; Flavobacteriia; Flavobacteriales; Flavobacteriaceae
Description: bacterial SSU rRNA
Rfam family: Bacterial small subunit ribosomal RNA
Source: RNAcentral